GGUGCGUUAGUUCAGUUGGUUAGAAUAUCUGCCUGUCACGCAGGGGGUCACGGGUUCGAGUCCCGUACGCACCGCAA
Molecule: transfer RNA, 77 nt
Filed under: Bacteroidales bacterium
Lineage: Bacteria; Pseudomonadati; Bacteroidota; Bacteroidia; Bacteroidales
Description: tRNA-Asp
Rfam family: tRNA
About the family: Transfer RNA (tRNA) molecules are approximately 80 nucleotides in length. Their secondary structure includes four short double-helical elements and three loops (D, anti-codon, and T loops). Further hydrogen bonds mediate the characteristic L-shaped molecular structure. tRNAs have two regions of fundamental functional importance: the anti-codon, which is responsible for specific mRNA codon recognition, and the 3' end, to which the tRNAs corresponding amino acid is attached (by aminoacyl-tRNA synthetases). tRNAs cope with the degeneracy of the genetic code in two manners: having more than one tRNA (with a specific anti-codon) for a particular amino acid; and 'wobble' base-pairing, i.e. permitting non-standard base-pairing at the 3rd anti-codon position.
Source: RNAcentral